Molecule: long non-coding RNA, 1051 nt
Organism: Oncorhynchus tshawytscha (Chinook salmon)
Lineage: Eukaryota; Metazoa; Chordata; Actinopteri; Salmoniformes; Salmonidae
Source: Ensembl
GUAGUAUUGCUACCCUCCAGGUAAACCAGUCUAAACAGUAGUGCUGCUACCCUCCAGGUAAACCAGUCUACCCUCCAGGUAAACCGAAACAGGAGGGUGGUAUAGACAAUGUAUUUAUUUAAUGUGAUCAGCGGUAGAUCUGUGUAAUAGCAGAAUUUAAAGGUCAUAUCUGAUUGAGCUGACCUAUGCAGCGGUUACCGUGACUACGGUCUCCGUGAACACAGGAACAUUGCCUUUUAAAAGGGUCAUAGCUGACGAAGCAGGAUCAGAUUGAAUCCCAGCCUUACUCUCUGUUAGUCAGCGCCUCUACAAACUGUUUUGGGGUUUCAGCUGUUUUUUACUAGUGAUCAACCAAUCAACCUGUCAAUCAAUAACCAAUCAAUCAGUCUGACCUGAUGUUCUUUACUGUACUACUACCCAUCAGGACCGGGACCAGGACCAGGACCCAGACGGGAGGACAAGAGGGAGAAGGAGAGAGAGAGACCCAGGGAGAGACCACAUGAGAGGGAGAGAGAGCGAGAGCACAGCCCCUCCACUAUGGCUUACAACAGUGACGAGGAGCGGUACCGUGGUUACCGGGAGUACCAAGCGGAGCGUGGCUACAGCGGCGGUGACCGUGGAGGGGGGGAGCGUGGCGGUGACCGUGGGAGUGGUGGUGAGCGUGGUGGUGGAGGCGGCGAGCGCCACAGAGACAGGUCGAGCCGUGAGAAGGAGGAGAGACACAGAGAGAGAAGACACAGAGAGAAGGAGGAGGGGAGACACAAGUCAUCACGCAGUAGCAGCAGGAGGAGACAUGAUAGUGAAGAAGGAGACGGUCACAGGAGACACAAACACAAGAAGAGCAAGAGGAGCAAUGGGAGGGCAAGGAACCCAGUGAUGACAUGGGAGGAGACCAGGAGAACCAGGACCACCAUGGAGUGAUGAAGAGAACACCCUCCUCUCCCUCUGUCCCUCUUCAUCUCUCUCUCUCUGUCUACAUGGGAGGAGACCAGGAGAACCAGGACACCAUGGAGUGAUGAAGAGAACACCCUCCUCUCCCUCUGUCCCCCUC